AACGAACGCUGGCGGCAUGCCUAACACAUGCAAGUCGAACGAGACCUUCGGGUCUAGUGGCGCACGGGUGCGUAACGCGUGGGAACCUGCCCUUAGGUUCGGAAUAACUCCCCGAAAGGGGGGCUAAUACCGGAUAAUGUCUUCGGACCAAAGAUUUAUCGCCUUUGGAUGGGCCCGCGUUGGAUUAGCUAGUUGGUAGGGUAAAAGCCUACCAAGGCGAAGAUCCAUAGCUGGUCUGAGAGGAUGAUCAGCCACACUGGGACUGAGACACGGCCCAGACUCCUACGGGAAGCAGCAGCGGGGAAUAUUGGACAAUGGGCGAAAGCCUGAUCCAGCAAUGCCGCGUGAGUGAUGAAGGCCUUAGGGUUGUAAAGCUCUUUUACCCGGGAUGAUAAUGACAGUACCGGGAGAAUAAGCUCCGGCUAACUCCGUG
RNAcentral lists this ribosomal RNA (433 nucleotides) under uncultured bacterium. Its description in RNAcentral is "partial 16S ribosomal RNA". It matches the Rfam family "Bacterial small subunit ribosomal RNA", at positions 29 to 507 of the family's 1533-position model. The record is from RNAcentral.